GACGAACGCUGGCGGCGUGCUUAACACAUGCAAGUCGAACGGAGCACCCUUGAUUGAGGCUUCGGCCAAAUGAUAGGAAUGCUUAGUGGCGGACUGGUGAGUAACGCGUGAGGAACCUGCCUUUCAGAGGGGGACAACAGUUGGAAACGACUGCUAAUACCGCAUGAUGUGUAACUGGGACAUCCCGGAUACACCAAAGAUUUAUCGCUGAAAGAUGGCCUCGCGUCUGAUUAGCUAGUUGGUGAGGUAACGGCCCACCAAGGCGACGAUCAGUAGCCGGACUGAGAGGUUGACCGGCCACAUUGGGACUGAGAUACGGCCCAGACUCCUACGGGAGGCAUCAGUGGGGAAUAUUGGGCAAUGGGCGCAAGCCUGACCCAGCAACGCCGCGUGAAGGAAGAAGGCUUUCGGGUUGUAAACUUCUUUUAAGUGGGAAGAGCAGAAGACGGUACCACUUGAAUAAGCCACGGCUAACUAC
Molecule: ribosomal RNA, 478 nt
Filed under: uncultured bacterium
Lineage: Bacteria
Description: bacterial SSU rRNA
Rfam family: Bacterial small subunit ribosomal RNA
Source: RNAcentral